AACAAUUAGGGGCCUUCAUCUCAUCCAAUCCAACAAAAGGGAACUCUUUUUCCUUUACAACAAAACUAUCUGAAAAUCCCUCAAACCUUAGAAUUCAUAUUCCUCAAUCCCUCUCUCUCUCACCUCUGCCAUCGCCGCCCACCGAAAAUCGCCUAGGAUGACGGCGCCACCCCAAACACACCCUACGCUCCUUAUCCUUCCCUUUCCAUAAACCUCAUAACCAUUGCCUUAAAAUCUCAACCCGUCUUCUCCAAUUUCGGAUCUGAAAAUGCUGAAGAAAACCUAAAUUCUUCCUUUUCUAAUUACUCCUUAACCCCGGCUUAUUUGAACUCAAAACCUAAAUCAAUUAAUUGCUCUUGAUGAGAGCAGUCGAUUGAUGUUAGUCUCAGUUCAACCCACGGCCAUCGGAGUUUGUUCGAUUUACCGGAGUUUGGUUGGAAUUUCAUCGUCAUUCCUUGAAUGACUACUAGGUAAUUUCUCUACUCUAUUUUAUUUUCCUUCUUUUCUUUUCUUUCUUCUUUUUCCUUGUUUUUCUUUUCAAACAUAUAACUCUUCUGUUCCUUCUCAAUUUCUUCUUUAGAUUGUUUGCGCUAAUGAUUAAGAGGUUUAAUUACUCAUUAAUUUAGUGUAAACAUAUAACAUUAGUUUAAUCGAUUUUAGAUUAGUUUGGACAAUUGGAAUAUUUUACUUGUUAAAUUGGGCACCGGUUUUCUUUUGUUUCUGCUUUUGCAUGAUUUACUUGUAAGCUAAUUGCAUGUGUUAGAUUAAUUGAAUCAAUUUUAAUUAGUUCAGUAAUCUAGUUUAGGUAUAUUAGUUAUUUGUUUCUAUUUCAUUUGAUCUGUGAUUUGUUUUUUGAUAGUUUGAUUGCUGAUUCUUAAUGUCAAUGGGAAUUAAGGGGGUUGAAAGGGUAAUUAGUAAGAGGGUCAAAGGGAUUCGAAAAUUUAGUAAAUCUGAGCUGUUUAUUCGGGGAAGUCUCUAGAAGGCAUUAAAGUGCAUAUAAAAUAAGAAAUUGGAUCAAUUUUGGGGUAAAGGGGUAGUUUUCAGAAGAUAAAGGUUUUAUAAAAUAGAGAAAAUAUCUUAAAUUGGACAGCUCUUUCAUUUUUCAGUUGAAAAUUUUUUUUAAAAUUUAGCUAACUGCUUCCCCCAUACUGCUCUGAUUUUUUCUCUCAUAAGAGCACAUGCUCACAUCCUAUAAAGGGACUCCUCCUCCUCUCAUUUUACACACACUAAUUCCUGCAUUUUCAGAUAUAUUCCUUUUAACUCAUCUUUAUUCUAAUUUUCUCACAAAAAUUUGGAAUUCUAGCCUUUCAAUCUCAAAAAAUAUCAGAAAAACUUAAAAAAAAAUUAGUUAUCUUUAUUCAUUGGUAUUGGGAUUCAUCUUUCUGGCUUUUAAAGUUCAAUUUACCUUGAAUUCCUGCUAUUUGCUACUGCACGGUCAAGCUAUUGUUUGAAUUUGAGUUCUGACUACAAUUCUUCAAAGUCAGAGAUUUAUUUUCUCUUCUAUCUGUUGUGUUUGCUGCUAUUGAGGCAUUACCCUUUAUUAAACAAUGUAAACUUCAGGUUUUGCUUGAAUGAUGAAGUUGUUUUGUUUAUCCUGUCAAGUUUCAGUUUGUGAUUAUUGUUUGGUGUUUGCUAAACUAUAUGUUUUUUAACUACUGUUGGAAUAUGGCUAUGAGUUAGGAAUUGCAUUAUUGCAUCUUAAGGUAUAUAACCUGACUUCAAGCCAUGCAGUUGAUGUUUAGAUUGUGUCCAUAUUAUAAAACUUUCUUGGUUUAUUGGUUGAUGUAUAUGCGGGGAUGUUCCUUCCUGUUGACUGUAAAUGGCUAGUGUAAUAAAUUUAUAAACAUGUUUAAGUAGCAAAAACAGCUAUUGCAAAUCAAAUCUACUAUUUGGUUCCAUCACUACUUAAGCAUGCUUCAAUAAGUUGCAUUGAAAUAGAAUCUAUUGUUUCCCUGAUUCAAAUUUGAGCUUGGUUUGUCCAGUUCAUCAGUCAUGUUUAAAGAAGCAUUUAUUGGGUUAAAGUUUAUCAAUCUUCAAAUUUAAUCACUAGUUGGUCAAGUAUGAUGAUUGAUAGGGUCCAGACAUUGUUGGAGUGCAUCAGUUGAUAAUCUUUUCCAAAGGAAGAAUCUGGAAACUAUCACCAUGGAUCGAUAUUUGAAGGCAUUUUAAUUUUGUCUUUUUUUUUACCCUUGAUUAUUUCAUAUAAGGAUAAUAUCUGGGUUGUAUGAGGUAAAUUGUUUUGCUACUUAUCAUGAGAUGAAGAAGUUUGGAGGAUUUGUUACACAUGUUCAAAUAAAUAGCUAAAUGUUUAAAGGACAGGCAGCAAAUAAAUAAAGUAUGGACUAUUUUCCGAAUUUGGAGUUGCAAUUGACAAUGACCGUUAAUGAGUUAAGCAGAAUUGAAUUUGUAAUGUGUAGAUUAUUGUAAUUUGUAAAUCGCUAUUCAUGUUAAUUAUUGAUAAUGUGAUGCAUAUGUUUAUCUGAGUCUAUAUUCAUGUUGAUUAUUGACAAUGUGAUGCUUAUGUUUAAUUAAGUCUAGGCUGAAGUUAAGUAGGCAUGUAUGCAAUUUUUUUUUAAUGUUCAUUGAUUGUAAACAAAAUGUUGGAAAAAGCCCUGGCCAUGAUGAAGGCCAGGCUCAUGCGUUUGGGCCAGACUUCAGAAAGAAGUCAGCAGUGGAAUGUCUCAUAGCUAGGCUUCAUAUGAAAGCCCAUUUGGACGUCUACGGUCGAUUUAGUCUCUUUAAACAAAUGUGAUUGGACUUUUCUUAUGAAUUAAUUCAUUUGGCCUCCUCUCUUUCAGUCAAGUAGAUAAACCUGCUAAUCAACUCAAUAUUUAAUUUCAUAAGGAAUUUUCCUUAAAUUGUGACCUCACAACAAAUUUCAAAGUAGUUUAAGAAGAUAAUCAUGAACACCGUAGUUUACUUUAGGUCUGAAUAAUAAAUUAUCGUGACUAUGGGUACGGUUUCCGUGGCAUGGUCAUAAUAUAUUCCUCAAUUCAAGUGCACAUAUUAUGUGACCCAACCAUAACUUUAAACAAUAAUAAAAUAAAAAUAUCGUAGAUUGUGGGUACAGUUCUGUGACACAAUUCACAAUAUGUACAAAAACAAACCAGUGCGCGACAUUGUGACUUGUUCCACUAACUUUCAUAAUUGUGUAAAAAUUAAUUUAAAAGCGGUUAGAAAUUUAAAAAUUCAAAAUAGAUUGCAAAUAUAUAAUACAUCAGAUAAUUAGGCCAAUUAUUAAUAGUUGAAUGACUGUGCUAAAAUUACGGAAUUCGGGAGUGCCUCACACCUUCUACCGGGUCAACAUAAUUCUUUACCCGGUCUGUUGUGCUUGCGGACCAAAAAUAUAGUCAAUUUUCUCGAUUUGAGAUUUAAAACCAGUGACUUGGGACAACAUAAAUUAUUCCAAGUAGAGACUUGAUCGGUGCCUACACCGCACUACUAUUGAGUAGGGAGAGAGGAUCGAAGCAGCUUUUACCCGAUUAAGGUCGGGAUGAUAUCCACAAAGAGCUAGAAUUUGGAGUUGAGUAUCUAUCUAACUUAGAGUUGCGUAUUUGUUCUUAAUUACACUUCUAAACAUUUUUGGGGUUUUGUUUAAUUUUAAUUUUAUCAACUACUAUGCUAAUUUAAUUAGAAUAAGCUAAGAACAAGAUAUUACGGCUUGAUCAAAUAGUUAAAAGGCACUAAGGUAGUGACUUUCGCCCAGGUGGUCAAUUAAUGGAUACUUAAGUUUAAGAUACGAUUGACAUUUUUGGGGAGUAUGAUAUAUCAUUUGUAAGAUUUUACUCACUCUAUAUCUCUUGGUAAUUCGAGUGAUUUUUAUCGAAUUGACUUUCUCAAGACCAAUUGGGUAUGCAAAUUUACACAAGCAAAUAGGGUUCAAGUCGGGUAUUACUAUCUCCAGGUUUAAUCCUUUAAUUGGAGUUAUCAAUCUCUUGAUUACGCCUCAAUUCCUUGUUGGACUAAUUUCAGAGACUUAGGCUCUCUUUCUCAAGAAGAACCAAAAUCAACUAAACACAACUAGUGUUUGCAACUACUAAUUCAGCAAUUAAUCAUGAAAUUAGUCUAAAUAUCAAAUACUCAUUGUCUAGCCCUAAAACACAAUAACCAUUAAUUACUCACACUAGGGUUGAGCCACAACCCUAGCUUAUGGGUCUAGCUACUCAUAAUUGAAGAAGAAAAUAAAGAAACACAUGAGGAAAACUCAUAUUAAUUAAUUGCUAAGAUAAACUAGAAGAUUCAAUGUUGAAAUAAAGAAAAAAUUUCUCAAAAUAACUAAAACUAUCGAAGUCACGAGCACAGCUCAGUACAAAAUCUAUAUGCUAACCUAAAAAUGGAAAAAGAAGCUAUUUAUACUAAGCUGAUAAAUCUGGAAAAAAUAUCCCAUGCGGGGCUGUUAAAAUAUUUGAACCUACGAGCGCAACUACCAGCUAAAUCUAUUUGCCUGAUCUAAAAAUGGAAAAAGAAGCUAUUUAUACUAAGCUUACAAUUUUGGACAAAAAUACCCAUGCGGGAUUAGUGCGGACCGCACAAAAUGAUGUGCGGCCGAGCAAAGUCUCUGAACUUGAAAUCCCAACUCUCUGAACUCAGGCACUGCGGACCGCCGAGAAUGGAUUGUGGUCGUAGAGGCUUCUAGUACGAUCCGCAUAAAAUGGAGCACAGACCGCAUUGGCUUGAAAACUCCAACUUGGCACUUCUCUGAUUCUUGGCUCUGCGGACAGCACAAAGUCGGGUACGGCUGCGUUGAUCUUAGUUCGGAUCGCACAAAACCUAGUGUGGCCGCACUGCCUCUUUGCUUGGAAAUCAACCUUUCCGAAUCCCUAGUGUGGACCGCACAAAAUGGUAUGCGACCGCGUUGGGAAUGUUCUUCUUGAGCUUUGUCUUGUCUUGAUACUUGUUCAAGUUUCACUCCUGUUGAGCUGAUCUUUGACAUCUUGUCAAUUUAUUGUUCAAACCUGCAAUCAAGCACAACUUAUGAGUCUUUUGGGACUAUUUUAUACGAAUUUCCAAUCAAAACAUAAGCAAGAAGGAGUAUAAAAUGCAUCAAAGUCCCUAGUUAUCAACUUCCACAAACUUAAGCUUUUGCUUGUUCUUAAGCAAACAAAAUAAGACCCACCCCUUAAAGGAAAAUUCAAGAAAUUUUCAGUUGUCCUAAAGUAACCUCAUCUAGCAUCAAUCGGGAGUAACAAUUUCCCUCAAUACAAAUGAAUCAUUAACAACUUUUACUCUUUGAAACUCCAUGGAUUAAGUGCGACGGAAGAACAUCAAGAAUUGAUUCAACACAUCAAAGAACUCUUUUCUAUUACUUCGAUCAUUAUGGAAACCAAUAUCACCCACAUCCUUAACUCCCCUAAAGCAAUGUGAUGACCCGUGGGAACCAUCACUUAUUUUCUUACUAUUCUAUACUAUUAAGGCCUGGAAACCUCAUCCGAAAUUGCCUCGAUUUGCGUGCACAAUCCGGGCGCGUAAUCGGAAAGUUUAGAUAUGGAUUCUGUGAGAAAAAUGCUAAAUUUUGAUAUUAAAUUGAACUUAUUGGUAUCAGGCCCAUAUUUUGGUUUCGCCGCCUGGUACAGGUCUUAUAUAUGGUUUAAGCACUUUCUGUAAAGUAAGGUCGAAAACAGACGUCGUUUGAAGUGUUUCGGACUUAAAAUGGAAAUGCAAUGUUUUAUGAAAAUUUGGAGGAAAUUGUGAGUUUUGAGGCUUAAUUCGAUGUAUAUGAUGUUAUCUUGGCAAUUUGAUCGCACGGAUAAGUCUGUAUGAUAUUUUUAAGGUUGUGCAUAUAUUUGGUUUGGAGCCCCGAGUGAUCGGGUGAGUUUUGGAUAGGUGUCACAGUGCAUUUUUGAACCUAGGAAAUUUGCUGCUAUAAUUGACCUGCAGACUUCACAAUGCGAUCCCACAAUUGCGAAGGGUCAGCUCGCAAAUGCGAGGAUGCCCCCAGACCUGUAGUUAUCGCAAAUGUGAUAUUGGGCUCGCAAAUGCGAAGUCUCCUUUCUUGGCAGAGUUCGCAAAUGCGAACAAUACCACCGCAAAUGCGGAGGUGAGGUCUUCGCAGAUGCGACCUUUUGGUUCGCAAAUGCGAACCUCCCUUCUUCCCUCAUAGUUCGCAAAUGCGAACCCCUAUUCGCAAUUUCCAUAUCUGCAACCUGCAAUUUUUAUACUUAGUUGAAUUUUGGACUGUUUCAGCCCAUUUUUCAAAACACAACUCAUUUGAGUGAUUUUUCAAGAACAAGAUCUCUUCCAAAUCGUUUGUAAGUUGGUUUUUACUUAUUUCUUUCAAUCUUUAACAUCAUUUAACAUGUUUUAAACAUAAAACAGUGAUUUUCAUGGGUGGAAUUGGAGGUUUAGGUAGAACUUAAUUUUUUAAAAAAUUGGAAAUUUGGAUCUUAAUUUGAGGUCCGAUUUCAAAAAAGAUCAUACAGUUGGGUUCGUUGGGUGAAUGGGUAACCGAAUUUUGGUUCGAAACUCGAGUUUUGACCAUGUUGACCUGAGGGCGUUUUGGUCAUUUUACCUAAAUUUUCGUCAUAGCUUUAAAUUAAAUAGUGGAAUCAGUUAUUUGAGAUGUUACUUACUAGAUGAAAUAGAAAUGAAUAGAUUUUGCCAUUUGGAGUCGGAUACUCAUGGCAAAAGAGUGAUUUCAAGUUGACUUUGGAACCGAUUGAGGUAAGUGGCUUGUCUAACCUUGUGUGGGGGAUUUUCCCCUUCGGAUAUGAUGUUGGUAAUUGAAUGCCUCGUGCAUGAGGUGACGAGCGCGUACUUGAGAAACUUGUUGGAAAUCCAUUUUAACUUGAAGUAUUUAAAUUGAGUUUUCUUGCUUUCUUGCUCAUUUGAAAUUGUUAGUUUAUUCUAUGCUAGUUUAGAAGAGCAUGUUCAUUGAUUUACUUGCCUAAGUGCUUAAACUGUCUUGUUUGUACUCUGUGUAGUUUGUUUGGCUAGUACUUUUUUAUUUCUUGUCCUGAGUUAGUAUCUUUCCUAAUGUUCGGGUUGCUAUUGUAUGUUUUUAAAUGGGGACUACGGGUUGGCCUCUCGAGAGAUCCCCUUGCACUUGAUAUGUUCUGGACUGAGGGUGCAGGAUACCAAGAGAUCCCUAGAACAUAAAAUUGUAAAAUUUGAGGAUACCAAGAGAUCCAUAGCAUAUGAAAUUAUAAGAUUUGAGGAUACCAAGAGAUCCUCGGGAUACCAAGAAAUCCCUAGCAUGAAAUUGUAAGAUUUGAGGAUACCAAGAGAUCCCUAGCACAUGAAAUUGUAAGAUUUGAGGAUACCAAGAGAUCCCUGGCACAUGAAAUUGUAAGAUUUGACGAUACCAAGAGAUCCCUGGCACAUGAAAUUUGUAAGAUUUGAGGAUACCAAGUGAUCCCCGGUUCUGGUUCCUGUUGUGCGUAGUAUUUACUAGCAUUGUCCUAUUUUUCUACUUUCCAUUACGGUUUUUGUAUUUGUCUUGUUUAGAUUCUAGUUGUACACUUAAUAUAUACUGUUAUUUCCUCAUCUUAUUAUUUAUUAUGUUGUAUCACAGUAGGGCCCAUACCUUUCCUCGUCGCUACCCAACCGAGGUUAGGCUUGGCACUUACUGAGUACUGCUGUAGUGUACUCAUGCCUCUUCUGCGCAUGUUUUUUUUUAUGUGCAGAUCCAGGUACUUCAUCUUAGGCACACUACCCUUGACGCCAGGAGAGCUACAGAGACUUUGAGGUACUUCUACAAUGUCCGCAGACCAAGGAGUAUCCUUCUUUACUCUAUAUGUAGUAUUUAGACUUCUUCCAUACUUUUGCUUUAGAUGUUCUGGAGUUAGAGCCAUGUAUUACUAUUCGUUAUCUUGUGUUCCCGUAAGUUUCAAGGUUUUGGGAUGAUAUUUUAGACUUCUACAUUCUGAGUUAUAUAUGCCGAGCGGCCUUUAUAUACAGUUUCUUUUAGUUUCUCAGUUUUUAAUUAAUUAUUCCGCAAUAAAUUUUUAGGCUUACCUAGUCAAAAGAACUAGGUGCCAUCACGACAUGUUCACGGAGAGAGAACUGGGAUCGUGACAAGUUUGUAUCAGAGAUCUAGGUUCAUAGGAGUCACGACACACAUGUCGGUUUAUUAGAGUCUCGCUGAUCGGUACGGAGAUGUCUGUACUUAUCUACGAUAGGCUAUGUAACUGUUAUGAAAAUUUCCACUUCAUUUGAUUUCCUUGUCGUGCGAUAUUUUGACAUCACAAAAUUCUAAACNNNNNNNNNNNNNNNNNNNNNNNNNNNNNNNNNNNNNNNNNNNNNNNNNNAAAAUUCUAAACUUCUACCUUCCAUUCUCUCACAGAUGGUGAGGACACGCACUACUCGGUAUGAUCAGGCACCCGUGCCCCUUACUAUAACCGUCAAAGGCCGAGGCAGGGGUAGAGGUCAAGGGCACGCACAUGGUGCAGCCAGAGCACCUGCGCGAGCUACCACCAGCAGAUCUAGUCGGAGCUCAGGCACCCAGCACGCCUACUAAUGCCACUACUACUCCAGCCUUUCAACUUUGUCUCAGUUCAUGAGUAUAUAUACCACCUUGGCUCAGGCAGGGUUGCUUCUCCUUGUUGCAGCCAUACCCUAGGUCGGGGGAUGAGCACAGAUUCCCGCCGUCCGCACUCUUGAUUAGCGAGUGUAGGUUGAGCAGGCUCCUGAGAUUAUUCCUGCGCAGCAUGUAGCGCCAAUUUAGCCUGAGGGCAAGUCAGCUGCUUCAGAGGACGAGUUGCAAAGACUUGAGAGGUGCAAGAAGUAUGAUACCCCAAUGUUUAGUGGAUUAGCAUCAGACGAUGCCUUGGGAUUUCUAAAGGAGUGCCACCGUAUUCUUCGCACUAUGGGCAUUGUAAAGUCCAGCGGGGUUUCCUUUACUGCUUUUCAGCUUCGGGGAGUCACCUACGAUUGGUGGCGCACCUAUGAGAUAGAUAGUCCAGUCGAGGCUGCUUCACUGACUUGGACCCAGUUCUUGGAUAUAUUUAUAAGAGAGUUUGUUCCCUAGAAUCUCAGGGACGCAUGGAUCGUAGAGUUUGAGCAUUUGCGCCAGGGUGCUAUGACCGUUUCGGAGUAUGCUAUCCAUUAUACCAGUUAGAUUCCUGGUAGAUUCCUCUACACAUUGAUAGUUGUACUAUGGGACGGUAUCCCUGGAGAUCCACCAGAUAGUUGAGAAAGGACUAGAGGAUGGUAUCCUGGGAGAUCCUAGUUGCUGGAGUCCGUGAGAGAGUUUGCAGGUUCAUCUAGUCUCUUAUACUACCCAUCAGAUAUAUCAUGGCUCGAGAGUUGGAGAUGGUCAUCCCUUAUCAGCAGGUAGUGAGCAUUGCUAGGAGAAUCAAGAAUAUGCUCGCCAGGGAGCGAGGGGAGAGCGAGGCCAAGAGGUCUCGAGAGUUGGGCACUACUCCGGUGCUUGUACAUGUCGACAUGGUAGGGGUUUUGUGGGUCUCCCCGUUCAUUCACCUCUUCCAGGAGCCAAUAGUGCUCCAGCUCCGCCUAUACCUCAGAAGCCUUACUAUGCACCUCAAGUUUCUAGCGCGCCUCCUGCGCGGGGUGUUUCUAGAGGUCAGUCCAGCAGACCUACCCUAGUCAGUCACAACCAUCGUGCCUCCCAGAGCUUGUUUUGAGUAUGGCGAUACCCGCCAUUUUGUGAGGUAUUUCCCUAGACUUGGGAGGAGUGCUCCCUCACGGCCUUCUCAAUCAGAGCGUGCUCAACAGAGUUCUCAGGCCAUGAUCACAGCUCCAGUUGCUGCCCCACCCGCUCAGACAGCUAGAGGUGGAGGCUAGGGAGGUAGAGGUCGCCGUCGAGGGGGAGGCCAGGCUAGAUAUUAUGCCCUUCCUUCUCGUGUCGAGGUUGUUGCCUAUGAUUCUAUUAUCACAUGUAUUAUACUAGUUUGUCACAAAGAGGCAUCAUUCUAUUCGAUCCGGGAUCUACUUAUUCUUAUGUGUCUUAUUACUUUGCUCUGCAUUUUGGUGUGCCUCGGGAUUCUUUGAGUGCCCGUGUCUAUGUUUCUACUCCCGUGCGAGAUUCUCUUGUUGUGGACUGCGUCUAUCGGUCAUGUUUAGUUACUAUUCGUAGUUUUGGGACCAGAGCAAAUUUAUUGUUACUCGGUAUAGUUGAUUUUGACAUUAUUGUGGGCAUAGACUGGUUGUUACCCCAUUUUGCUAUUCUUGAUACUCACGCCAAGACCGUGACGCUAGCUAUGCUAGGUAUUUCGUGUGUCGUGUGGAGUGGUACUUUAGAUCACACUCCCAGUAGAUUUAUCUCUUUUCUUAAAGCUUAGUGUAUGGUUGAGAAGGGGUGUGCCGUGUAUUUAGCUUAUGUGAAAGAUGUUAGUGCUGAUACCCCAUCCAUCGAUUCAGUUCGAAUAGUACAGGAUUAUCUCGAUGUGUUUCCAGCUGAUCUUCCGAGCAUGCCACCCGAUAGAGACAUUGAUUUUUCCAUUGAUUUGUUGCCGGACACUCAGCUUACUCCCAUUUCUCCGUAUCGUAUGGCUCCUCAUGAGCUGAAGGAAUUUAAGGAUCAGUUGCAGGAAUUGCUUGAUAAGGAUUUUAUUCGACCUAGAGUUUAACCGUGGGCUGCUCCUAUUUUGUUUGUGAAGAAGAAGGAUGGUUCUAUGAGUAUGUGCGUUGAAUAUAGCCAGUUGAACAAGUCUAUAGUGAAGAACCGUUAUCCUUUGCCUCGUAUUGAUGUUCUGUUUGACCAGCUUCAGGGCGCACAUGUGUUUUCUAAGAUUGACUUGCGCUCAGGUUACCACCAAUUGAAGAUUCAGGAGCCAGACAUCCUGAAGACUGCCUUGAGGACUUGGUAUGGUCAUUUCGAGUUCCUUGCUAUGUCAUUUGGGUUGACCAUUGCCCCAGCAGCUUUUAUGCAUUUGAUACGCAGUGUGUUCAGCCGAUAUCUCAACUCGUUCGUUAUUGUUUUUAUUGAUGAUAUUCUGGUGUAUUCCCUGAGUCGGGAAGAUCAUGAGCAGUACUUGAGGACCUUGCUUCAGAUCCUGUGAGAGAAGAAGUUAUAUGCAAAGUUCUCAAAAUGUGAGUUUUGGUUGGAUUCAGUGGCAUUCUUAGGCCACGUGAUUUCGAGCGAGGGCAUUCGGGUAGUUUCGAGGAAGAUAGAGGCCAUGCAGAGUUGACCCAGGCCGUCCUCAGCUACAGAGAUUCACAAUUUCCUUGGUUUGGCGGGCUACUACCGUCGUUUUGUGGAGGGGUCUUCAUCAACUGCAGCCGCUAUGGCUAGAUUGACCUAGAAGGGUGCCCCAUUUCAGGGGACAAAGGAGUGUGAGUUGAGCUUUCAGAAGCUCAAGACAACUUUGACUACAGCCCCUAUUUUGAUAUUGCCUAUCGGUUCGGGGUCUUAUACUGUCUAUUGUGAUGCCUCGAGAGUUAGCCUCGGAGUGGUGUUGAUGCAGGACUGUAGGGUGAUUGCCUAUGCGUCCAAAUAGUUGAAGAUACAUGAGAAGAACUAUCCCGUCCAUGACUUUGAGUUAGCUACUAUUUGUUCAUGUCUUAAAGAUCUGGUGUCAUUAUUUGUACGGUGUGCCUUAUGAGAUAUAUAGUGACCAUCAGAGUUUACAGCACUUGCUUAAGCAAAAGGAUCUAAAUUUGCGCCAGAGGAGGUGGUUAGAGUUGCUGAAAGAUUAUGAUAUCACUAUUAUGUAUCACCCGGACAAGGCCAAUUUGGUGGCGGAUGCCUUGAGUCGCCGGGCAGAUAGUUUGAGGAGUUUGGCAUAUUUACCAGCUUCAGAGAGGCUUAUGGCGAUGGAUGUUCAGGCCUUAGCCAUUCAGUUUUUGAGAAUUGAUCCUUUCGAGCCUAGUCGGGUUCUAGCUUAUGUGGUUUCCCAGUCUUCCUUAUUUGAUCGUAUUAGGAAGCGGCAGUAUGAUGGCCCUUAUUUCAUUGUGCUUAAGGACAAGGUCCAGCGUGGUGAUGCCAGAGAUGUGACCAUUGGAGAUGACGGGGUGUUGAGGAUGCAAGGCCGUGUUUGUGUGCCCAAUGUUGAUGGGUUAUUGGAGUUGAUUCUAGCAGAGGCCCAUAGUUCGUGUAAUUCCGUCCAUCCGGGUGUCGUAAAGAUGUAUCAGGAUUUGAGGCAACACUAUUGGUGGAGGCGGAGGAAGAAUGGUAUAGUUGGAUAUGUAACGAGAUGCAUCAACUACCUACAGGUGAAGUAUGAUCACCAGAGACCAGGUGGAUUGCUCCGGCAGAUAGAGAUUCCAGAGUGGAAAUGGGAGAGGAUCACCAUGGAUUUUGUAGUUGGACUCCCACAGACCUUGAAGAAGUUUGAUGCUCAUCUGGGUUAUUGUGGAUCGGCUAACCAAGUCUGCUCAUUUCAUUUCUGUGUGUACCAUUUAUUCUUCGGAGCGGUUGGUAGAGAUUUAUAUCCUGGAGAUCGUCCGUCUGCAUGGUAUUCCAGUUUCCGUUAUUUCAAACAGAGGAAAUCAGUUUACAUCACAGUUCUGCAUAGCCGUGCAGCAGGAGUUAGGUAGUCAGAUGGAGUUGAGCACAACUUUUCACCCCCAGAAGGACGGACAGUCCACGCGCACUAUUCAGAUUGUUGAGGAUAUGCUCUAUGCAUGUGUGAUUGAGUUUGGAGGGUCUUGGGAUUAGUUCUUUCCCUUAGCGGAGUUUGCCUACAACAAAAGUUAUCAGUCCAGCAUUUAGAUGGCGCCAUAUGAGGCUUUAUAUGGUAGGAGGUGUAGAUCUCCGGUUGGAUGGUUUGAGGGGGGAGGCUCAAUUUCUAGGUACAGAUUUGGUUCAGGAGGCCUUGGACAAGGUCAAGAUCAUUUAGUAUAGGCUUCGUUCAGCUCACUCUAGGUAGAAGAGUUAUGCAGAUCGCAAGGUUCGAGAUGUAGCAUUUAUGGUUGGUGAGGCCGUAUUGCUCCAAGUAUCUCCUAUGAAGAGCGUGAUAAGAUUUGGGAAGAAGGACAAGCUUAGCCCUAGGUACAUUGGUCCGUUUGAGAUUCUUGAUCGAGUGGGAUAGGUGGCUUAUAGACUCGCAUUACCGCCUAGCUUAUCAAUCUUUCAUCCAAUUUUCCAUGUAUCUAUGCUUCUAAAGUAUCAUCGGCGAUUCAGCCCACGUGCUAGAUUUCAACACUGUCUAGUUGGACAAGGACUUGUCCUAUGAGGAGGAGCCGAUAGCUAUCUUAGACCGGCAGGUUCAUCAGUUGACGUCCAAGAGAUUUCCUUUUGUUCGUGUGCAAUAGAGAGGUCAGCCUCCUAAGGCAUCAACCUGGGAGUCCGAGGCUGAUAUGCAAAGCCGUUAUCCUCAUCUUUUUCCUGACUCAGGUACUUCUUUCUUUUGUCCGUUCGAGGACGAACGGUUAUUUUAGUGGUGUCGGAUGUGAUUACCCAAGGGGGUCAUCACUUGUUUUCUUACCAUUCUGUACUUCUGGGGCCUUCAAAGCCUCAUCAGAGGUUGCCUUAAUUUACAUGUGCAGUCCAGGCGCGUAGCCGGAAAGCUUAGAUAUGGAUUCUAUGAGAAAAAUGCUAAAUUUUGAUAUUAAAUUGAAUAAAUUUGACUUCGGUCAAUAUUUUAAGUAAACGAACCGGACCCGUGAUUUGAUAGUCCUGAAUCCGCAGGAAAAUAUGGGACUUGGGCGUAUGCUCGGAAUCAAAUUCCAAGGUCCCAAGCCCAAGCAAUGAAUUUUUGUGUAAAAUUAUUUUAUGAAAAUAUUUGAGGAAAUUGGAUAUGAAAUUCGAUUAGAACAUAUUGGUAUCGGGCCCAUAUUUUUGUUCCGGCAUGCGAUGCAGGUCUUGUAUGUGGUUUAAGCACUUUUGUAAAGUAUGGUAAAAAAAGGGACGUCGUUUGACGUGUUUCAGACUUAAAAUGGAAAUGCAAUAUUUUAUGAAAAUUUGGAGGAAAUCAUGAGUUUGAGGCUUAAUUCAUUGUAUAUGAUGUUAUUUUGGCGAUUUGAUCGCACGGAUAAGUCCGUAGAAUGUUUUUGAGGUUGUGUACAUAUUUGGUUUGGAGCCCCGAGGGCUCAGGUGAGUUUUGGACAGGUGGCGGAGUGCAUUUUUCAACCUGGGAAAUUUGCUGCGAUAACUGACCUACAGGCUUCACAAUUGCGAAGCCUGGCUCGCAAAUGCGAGCCCACAAUUGCGAACGAUCAGCUCGCAAAUGCGAGGAUGCCCCCAGACCAAUAGUUAUCACAAAUGCGAUAUUGGGCUCGCAAAUAAGAAGUCCCACUUUCUUGCCAGAGUUCGCAAAGGCGAUUAAUACCACCGCAAUUGCGAAGGUGAGGUCUUCGCAAAUGUGACCUUUUGGUUCGGAAAUGCGAACCUCCCUUCUUCCCUCAUAGUUCGCAAAUGAGAACAAGAACCUGACAUUUUUUAUACCUCUAAGGUUCGCAAUUGCGAACCCCUGCUCGCAAUUCCCAUAUCUGCAACUUUCAAUUUUUAUACUUAGUCGAAUUUAGACAGCUUCACCUUAUUUUUCAAAACACAACUCCUUUGAGCGAUUUCCAAGAAGAAGACCUCUUCCAAAUCAUUUGUAAGUUGGUUUUUACUUAUUUCUUUCAAUCAUUUACAUCAUUUAACAUGUUUUCAACUUAAAAUUAGUGAUUUUCAUAGGUGGAAUUUGAGGUUUGGGUAAAUCCUAGAUUUUUUAGAAAUUGGGGAUUUGGACCUCAAUUUGAGGCCUGAUUUCAAAAAAAAUAAUAUAUUUGGGUUCGUGGGGGAAUGGGUAACCAGAUUUUGGUUUGAACCUCGGGUUUUUACCAUGUUGACCUGAGGGGCAUUUUGGUCAUUUUACCUAAAUUUAUGUCUUAAUGAAAUAGUGGAAUCAGUUAUUUGAGAUGUUAUUUAUGAGAUGUAAUAGAAAUGAAUAGAUUGGGCCAUUUGGAGUUGGAUACUCGGGGCAAAAGAGUGAUCUCAAGUUGACUUUGGAACCGAUUGAGGUAAGUGGCUUGCCUAACCUUGUGUGGGGGAUUUCCCUUUAGAAUAUGGUGUUUAGUAAUUGAAUGCCUCGUACGUGAGGUGACGAGCGCGUACUUGAGCAAUUUGUUGGAAACCCGUUUUUUCUUGAAGUAUUUAAAUUGAGUUUUCUUGCUAACCUGCUCAUUUGAAAUUGUAAGUUUAUUCUAUGCUAAUUUAGAGGAGCAUGUUCAUUGAUUUACUUGCCUAAGUGCUUAAAUUGUCUUGUUUGUACUCCAUGUAGUAUCUUUGGCUAGUAUUUUUCAAUUUCUUGUCCUGAGUUAGUAUCUUUUAUGAUGUUUGGGUUGCUAUUGUAUGUUUUUAAAUUGGGACUACGGGUUGGCUUCCCGAGAGAUCCCCCAGCACUUGAUAUGUUCUGGACUGAGGGUGCGGGAUACCGAGAGAUCCAUGGCACAUGACUUUAUAAGAUUUGAGGAUAUCAAGAGAUCCGUGGCAAAUGAAAUUAUAGGUUAGAGGAUACCAAGAGAUCUGUGGCACAUGAAAUUAUAAGAUUUGAGGAUACCAAGAGAUCCUUGGGAUACCAAGAGAUCUAUGGGACAUGAAAUUGUAAGAUUUGAGGAUACCAAGAGAUCCCUGGCACAUGAAAUUGUAAGAUUUGANNNNNNNNNNNNNNNNNNNNNNNNNNNNNNNNNNNNNNNNNNNNNNNNNNNNNNNNNNNNNNNNNNNNNNNNNNNNNNNNNNNNNNNNNNNNNNNNNNNNNNNNNNNNNNNNNNNNNNNNNNNNNNNNNNNNNNNNNNNNNNNNNNNNNNNNNNNNNNNNNNNNNNNNNNNNNNNNNNNNNNNNNNNNNNNNNNNNNNNNNNNNNNNNNNNNNNNNNNNNNNNNNNNNNNNNNNNNNNNNNNNUCUCGGGAUACCAAGAGAUCCCCGGUUGUGGUUCCUGUUGUGAGUAGUAUUUACUAGCAUUGUCUUGUUUUUCUACUUUUCAUUACGUUUUCAUAUUUAUCUUGUUUAGAUUCUGGUUGUACACUUAAUCUAUACUGUUAUUUCCUCAUCUUAUUGUUUAUUAUGUUGUAUCUCAGUAGGGCCCGGACCUUUCCUCGUCACUACCCAAUCGAGGUUUGUCUUGGCACUUACUUAGUACAAUGUGGUGUACUCAUGCCUCUUCUGUAAAUUUUUUUUUUCAUGCGCAGAUCCAGGUACUUCAUCUCAGGCACACUACCCUUGAGGCCAGGAGAGAUACUGAGACUUUGAG
RNAcentral lists this long non-coding RNA (16072 nucleotides) under Nicotiana benthamiana. RNAcentral describes it as "long non-coding RNA (NBEN_LNC003116)". Lineage: Eukaryota; Viridiplantae; Streptophyta; Magnoliopsida; Solanales; Solanaceae. The record is from RNAcentral.